GGUGUGACUGCGUACCUUUUGUAUAAUGGGUCAGCGACUUAUAUUCUGUAGCAAGGUUAACCGUAUAGGGGAGCCGCAGGGAAACCGAGUCUUAACUGGGCGUUAAGUUGCAGGGUAUAGACCCGAAACCCGGUGAUCUAGCCAUGGGCAGGUUGAAGGUUGGGUAACACUAACUGGAGGACCGAACCGACUAAUGUUGAAAAAUUAGCGGAUGACUUGUGGCUGGGGGUGAAAGGCCAAUCAAACCGGGAGAUAGCUGGUUCUCCCCGAAAGCUAUUUAGGUAGCGCCUCGUGAACUCAUCUUCGGGGGUAGAGCACUGUUUCGGCUAGGGGGUCAUCCCGACUUACCAACCCGAUGCAAACUACGAAUACCGAAGAAUGUUAUCACGGGAGACACACGGCGGGUGCUAACGUCCGUCGUGAAGAGGGAAACAACCCAGACCGCCAGCUAAGGUCCCAAAGUCAUGGUUAAGUGGGAAACGAUGUGGGAAGGCACAGACAGCCAGGAUGUUGGCUUAGAAGCAGCCAUCAUUUAAAGAAAGCGUAAUAGCUCACUGGUCGAGUCGGCCUGCGCGGAAGAUGUAACGGGGCUAAACCAUGCACCGAAGCUGCGGCAGCGACACUAUGUGUUGUUGGGUAGGGGAGCGUUCUGUAAGCCUGCGAAGGUGGCCUGUGAGGGUUGCUGGAGGUAUCAGAAGUGCGAAUGCUGACAUAAGUAACGAUAAAGCGGGUGAAAAGCCCGCUCGCCGGAAGACCAAGGGUUCCUGUCCAACGUUAAUCGGGGCAGGGUGAGUCGACCCCUAAGGCGAGGCCGAAAGGCGUAGUCGAUGGGAAACAGGUUAAUAUUCCUGUACUUGGUGUUACUGCGAAGGGGGGACGGAGAAGGCUAUGUUAGCCGGGCGACGGUUGUCCCGGUUUAAGCAUGUAGGCUGGUUAUCCAGGCAAAUCCGGAUAAUCAAGGCUGAGGUGUGAUGACGAGGCACUACGGUGCUGAAGUAACAAAUGCCCUGCUUCCAGGAAAAGCCUCUAAGCAUCAGGUAACACGAAAUCGUACCCCAAACCGACACAGGUGGUCAGGUAGAGAAUACCAAGGCGCUUGAGAGAACUCGGGUGAAGGAACUAGGCAAAAUGGUGCCGUAACUUCGGGAGAAGGCACGCUGGUGUGUAGGUGA
Molecule: ribosomal RNA, 1172 nt
Filed under: Klebsiella pneumoniae
Lineage: Bacteria; Pseudomonadati; Pseudomonadota; Gammaproteobacteria; Enterobacterales; Enterobacteriaceae
Also listed under: 1 other name
Description: bacterial LSU rRNA
Rfam family: Bacterial large subunit ribosomal RNA
Source: RNAcentral